UACGUAGGGUGCGAGCGUUGUCCGGAAUUAUUGGGCGUAAAGAGCUCGUAGGCGGCUUGUCACGUCGGAUGUGAAAGCCCGAGGCUUAACCUCGGGUCUGCAUUCGAUACGGGCUAGCUAGAGUGUGGUAGGGGAGAUCGGAAUUCCUGGUGUAGCGGUGAAAUGCGCAGAUAUCAGGAGGAACACCAAUGGCGAAGGCAGCACUCUGGGACGUGACUGACGCUGAGACGCGAAAGCGUGGGGAGCAAACAGG
This 253-nucleotide ribosomal RNA is filed under the name uncultured bacterium. Its description in RNAcentral is "partial 16S ribosomal RNA". It matches the Rfam family "Bacterial small subunit ribosomal RNA", at positions 524 to 776 of the family's 1533-position model. The record is from RNAcentral.